RNAcentral lists this non-coding RNA (212 nucleotides) under Propionispora sp. RNAcentral's name for it is "T-box sequence". It matches the Rfam family "T-box leader". Rfam says of the family: Uncharged tRNA acts as the effector for transcription antitermination of genes in the T-box leader family. The record is from RNAcentral. Lineage: Bacteria; Bacillati; Bacillota; Negativicutes; Selenomonadales; Sporomusaceae.
UAAAUAGUAAUGACGGAAAAAAGUAGGUCUAUGGGCACUAGACAGAGAGCCGGUGGUUGGUGCGAAUCGGUUGGUGACAUAUGCUGAAGUACCUUCCUGAACUGCGAGGCUGAACGGUAGUAGGCCGGGCCGGGGUGGCAUUCGUUACUGUGCUAUGAGUUGAUCUGAUUCGAGAUUAUGAGGGUGGUACCGCGGAACUUUCCGUCCCUUGC